RNAcentral lists this long non-coding RNA (3520 nucleotides) under Homo sapiens (human). RNAcentral describes it as "HSALNT0322613". The record is from RNAcentral. Lineage: Eukaryota; Metazoa; Chordata; Mammalia; Primates; Hominidae.
GAAAAAGGCAUUUUAAGAUAGCCAGCUAAAUGCCAGAAAGUUGUAAAAUGGCUUUUUAACUUAGCUUAUUUCUUAAUUAGAUUACUGGUUUUAGGGUGGAGCCCUUUAAGGAACUCAGCCUAAGAAAGCAGUCAGUCUUCAGGGCCUAAAGGAUGCUUUUCUUAUCCAAACACUCAAAGAGGAGCACCCUGUAGUAAUAACUGUUCACUGUAAGCAACUGCCAUCAGCCAUUCUAAAAGUGUAUUUCUCACCUAGCCAUGACACAUACCAAGGUUAAUUUUUUUCAUAAAGUAAUUUCUGGUACCCCCCAAAGCCAAGAAGAUCAGGAAAUGCAAUACAAAAGGGAACAGAAUUUUAGAUCUGAGAUAACUCCGUCCAUUUACAGCUUUGGGGAUUCCCUAAGGAAAAAUAGCAGUUACUACCAAAAAGGAACAUGUGGCACCUUUUUCUGUUAAUUUCUCUUUUUUUUUUUUUAAGGCAUCAAGUUGUUAGAAUUUACUAUGUAUGUGUCUGUCUGUCUGUCUAUCUCUAUCUAUGUAUCUAUGUAUCUAUCUAUCUAUCUAUCUAUAGAGACUAGCCUAAAUAUAGGUUUUAAUUAAGUCAACUUUUGACUAUAGAGCUCUUAAAAAAUCCUCUCAAACCUCUUAUUACCAGAAUUUGCCAGGGACAAAGAGUUUAUAUUUUAAAUCACACAACUGUCAAACCAGAAAGGACUUGUUCCCUGGCCAGGAAUUGAACCUAGGCCACCACAGUGAAAGGGCAGAACCGUAACUCCUGGACACAGAAUGGAGUGUCUCCGUUGUUCUUCCCAGAAGGAAUGUAAAGCAGGCACUUUUGACCUUGAAUAGGAUUUUAACUUUGUUUUAGGUCAGAUCUGCUCGAAAGAAUAGCUAUAACAUUACUUUGUGUCCCUUUAAUUUAACCUUUCCAACAAUUGUUUAGAAUAAAAGAUGGGGGUCUCGCUUUGUUGCCCAGGCUAAUCUGGAACUCCUGGGCUCAAGCGAUCCUCCCGUCUAGGCCUCAUAAAGUGCUAGGGUUACAGGCAUGAGCCACCCCACCUGGCCCAAUUUGAUACCUUUAAUCUGAGAAAGUUUUUAGGGUAACUUUAAAUCUUGUCGGCAAAUAGAAGGUGGAAAAUUAUUAAACAUUGAAAGGAUACUUCCUAUUAAUAUUCUCUAUUUUUUUAUCCUCAAUAUUUAUUUCUACUCCAGUAUUUUUUGUUUGUUUUAGUAAUCUAUUUAGAGUAACAAUAAAGCAGGUGAGUGAAGGAGCACAAGGAACUUCAUCCCCAAUUAAUCUGCCUUUUAUCAGUUGAUUUUUCAGUGAAACUUCAGAGGGCAAAGUGGAAGGGUCCCCUUGGCUCCUUCAUGAUAACCUAAUCUGAUUUGUGCCAUCUGCGGCUUCUGAAAAAAAAAAUCUUUAGUGGGACAGAGAAAUAAUUAACAUCUUCCAUGAGGUUUCUUUUUCCUGUGAAGACCAAGUAUGAUUCUGUUUUGGGAACAUUCUGUAAUUCUUCAUAGAUUUUUAAAUUAGAAGGGGAGUGUCUUAGUUUCUCUUAUUUAUCCUCCUCCUUUCAGAGGAGACAGCAAGACCCAGAAAAGUGAAGAACCUGCCUGAACAUGGUCAGUGGCAGACUCAGAAGUGGAACUCAAGCCUUUUGCUUGUCCCCCCCACGUUUUUGAUGCAGAGUUUUUAUAGCUCCUCAAGGGAGGAAGGAACAGAAGGGACCCUGCAGUCCAAGGUCAGUGGUUUAGAAAGUUGGUAGUUGAGAAGGAUCCAUGUCACACUCCCUGUUUCCUGAGCUACCCCCAGGAAAUACAGAGAAGAGUUUACUCAGUGAUCAGAGAGUCAAUGGAGGUUUUCUGAGUCAGGUAACCAGGAUUCUGAGUUUGUGUUUUUUCUAAAUCUGGGUUGUUGAUGGAGAAGUAGACUGGAUUUUAUUAAUACUUGCAAGACACAGGGUACAUUUUUUUCAGUGGUUUUCUUUCCCUUGUUUGAUUUUUAUAAAGGUACAUCAUAGUUUGACCUUCUAAAGGUACAAGCUGAGGAGUACAUUAUUCAUCAGGGGAAAUUUUUCUAGGGCAUCUGUUUUCGAAACAUAGGCCUAGGAUUGUGUGGGUCCUGAUAAGCAAAAAUUUAAAAAAAAAAAAAAAACUUUGCCCUUGUCGGCAUUUUGGACCCACUGUUUUUGACAUUUUUUCAAAAUGCUUCAACAUCACAUUCAAGUCUCAGUGUAAAAGGGGCUAUCAUUUUCCUUUGAGUUUUCUCACUGGGCUUUUAGAGUUUGAUAGGAAACAUGGUGAUAGUUGCAACUAAAGAGAAUGCUAAGAUGAGAAGGAAAAGAGACACAUUGGGGGGCUGAGAUGCGCUUAGAGCUCCAUGGUCUCGUGGGAAUGGAUUUAAACCAAUGGUUCCCACCGAGUUCUUAGUGCUGUCAAGUUCUGCAGGUCAGCUGGUCAUCACAGGCUGGAUCAUGUAUUUUAUGUGCACUCAGCAUUAUAUUCAGAACUUGAAAUAGCAGUGUGAAAAAGAGAUAGUUGCUUUCUAUAAUCAGCUUCUGGGUAUGCAUUUCUAAAAAUAGCUUUGAGGGACAAGGUCCUGGACUCUGUGGUUUCUAGUUUCUGGAGGUGGGGGUGAGGAGGAAGGUGCUGGGGUCCUCAGGACUUAUUUCUAAACCCUUGCUUUGCUGUACAAAAAGGUCAAUUUUAGUAUUCACUGGGAUAGAAAAGUGGGUAUUGGGAGUCAUUUAAAAAGUCUAAUGAAAGUUGAAGGCGCCAGGGGAGGUUCUCUUGCAGGAGUGGGAGGCAACAAUUUACAAUUCCUUCUCCAGUCCUUUUUGCCAGUUCUCCAGCAGUUCUCUGCAGGGGAGCCUGGGUUUCUUUCAAGAUUGUUUCAAUGUUAAAUUGACACUAAAUCAAGAGCACAGUAAGUCCCAACCUAGUCUUUUUAAGUGAAGAAAAUUUUGAAGGCAGCCAGGGCUCCUGUGGGGAGUGGAUGCAGAAUCAAGGAGGCAGCAAAUAAAACCACUGAAGAGGGUGGGAAAUUGGAAGCAGAAAUUAAAAGGCUUUUACAUUUCUAUAAAAAUAUGUUGUCUGUCUUCAUAUGUCUUUUUCUCACUGCAUCUUCUAGUAUUAUUUGUUUUACGUGGUGAAGAGCUUCCCUAGUCCAAAAGAACAAACAUUACCUUUAAAACAUUUUCUCCAUGCUAUGUUCCUUUAUCUACCUGCACAGCACCUUGUUGGCUCAAGCUCUCAGCCAGUGUCUUCGUGCUUUGCAACACACCUGAGUCAUAUAUUCAUGGAUCAAUGAAAGACGCCGCAUGGUAUCUUAAAAGGAUGCUAAGAAUCAGAUCCUGACUUGAAGUCAUGGUGCUGAUUGAUGGUGACUAGAUCUCUUUUUGGUAAAAUAUAGCUAAUCAUGUCACUCAGUUGCUUAAUAAAACUCAAAAGCAAUAUACAGGACAGUGCAUCAUGGAAAAGAUUAUUAAAUAUAAGUGUCACUUAAUUUUGUUAUGCAGACA